RNAcentral lists this ribosomal RNA (400 nucleotides) under uncultured bacterium. RNAcentral's name for it is "bacterial SSU rRNA". It matches the Rfam family "Bacterial small subunit ribosomal RNA", at positions 28 to 424 of the family's 1533-position model. The record is from RNAcentral.
GAUGAACGCUAGCGGCAGGCUUAAUACAUGCAAGUCGAGGGGCAGCACGAAUAGCAAUAUUUGGUGGCGACCGGCAAACGGGUGCGGAACACGUACGCAACCUUCCUUUAAGUGGGGAAUAGCCCGGGGAAACCCGGAUUAAUACCCCGUAAUAUUAUGAUGUGGCAUCACUUUAUAAUUAUAGAUUCAUCGCUUAAAGAUGGGCGUGCGCCUGAUUAGGUAGUUGGCGGGGUAACGGCCCACCAAGCCUUCGAUCAGUAACUGGUGUGAGAGCACGACCAGUCACACGGGCACUGAGACACGGGCCCGACUCCUACGGGAGGCAGCAGUAAGGAAUAUUGGUCAAUGGACGCAAGUCUGAACCAGCCAUGCCGCGUGGAGGAUGAAGGUCCUCUGGGUU